GAUGUACGAGUUUGUUGUUUAUGUGGCAUGUGCCAUGUACUCUAGAUGUAUUAGUUUGUUGUUUGUGUGUCACGUGCCAUGUACUUUGGAUGUACUAGUUUGUUGUUUGUGUGGCAUGUGCCAGGUACUUUGGAUGUAUUAGUUUGUUGUUUGUGUGGCAUGUGCCAUGUACUCUGGAUGUACUAGUUUGUUGUUUGUAUGGCAUGUGCCAUGUUGUAAGCCUGAGAGCUUUUUAUUUAUGGAUGUUUACAACUUUGCGCCGUAUAGUUUGAUGUUAAUUGCCAAGUAUUUGCACUAUCAUUGAUGAAUGCUUGGCUAUGUUUGAGCAAAUCCUUUGUUUGGAUAUAAGCCAUAACUUGGGUAAGAUUGAAUGAAUAUACUGUGGAGCCGUUCAUUUAUUUGUAUAGUCUUGUUGACAUAUACUUAGACUUUAUUUCCUGUUAGGAGCAUUCAUGUUAAAGCUUUGAACCCGUGUGUUUCAUUGCUAGGAAUGUAAGGG
This 499-nucleotide long non-coding RNA is filed under the name Malus domestica (apple). RNAcentral describes it as "long non-coding RNA (MDOM_LNC004266)". Lineage: Eukaryota; Viridiplantae; Streptophyta; Magnoliopsida; Rosales; Rosaceae. The record is from RNAcentral.